This 375-nucleotide ribosomal RNA is filed under the name uncultured Glomeromycotina. RNAcentral describes it as "LSU rRNA". The record is from RNAcentral. Lineage: Eukaryota; Fungi; Glomeromycota.
UUGAAAGGGAAACGAUUGAAGUCAGUCGUACCGACGAGAAAUCAGCUCUUUGAGUGUGGACUUGUGGGCGUGCGUGAGCUUUACGGUCUCGCUGUUUGCAAUGUUUGUUCUUUUUGGGUGUACUUUUUCGUAUGGUAGGCCAACAUCAGUUUCGAAUACCAUAAAAUGACCGGCGGAAUGUAGCUUCGAUCUCGUAUUGAAGUGUUAUAGCCUCUGGUAGAUGUGGUGUUUGGGACUGAGGAUUGCAACGAAUAUCCUUUGGGCUAUCCGUCUGAUCUCUGAAAGUUGCUUAGGUGCCGAAAGCGUGCUUACGGUUAUUUAAGUUGACGGUCAAAAGGUUAGAACGUGAUUACAUUCGUUAAGGAUGUUGACGUA